GUCUACAGCUAUACCACCCUGAAUGCAUCCAUCUCAUCUGAUCUCAGACACUAAGUAGGGUUGGGCCUGGUUAGUACUUGGAUGAAGACUACCUGGGAAUACUGGGCUGAGCUCU
This is a non-coding RNA of Sus scrofa (pig), 115 nucleotides long. NCBI's taxonomy places the organism in Eukaryota, Metazoa, Chordata, Mammalia, Artiodactyla, Suidae. The record is from Rfam.